GGGGGUGACUGGUUUCGACAUGAUAGCCUUGACAGGGGCAGCAGGCCGUGGUCUCCUCGCCACGUUAAACAGGGGUAAAGCCAAUUAACUGGCAACAAGGUUGUUUCUUUCAAGGGUCAGCGUCAGCUGGCUCUCGCUGCCUAAUUUAUUAGGUUCAGCAUCCUCAAUCCGGGGUUAAAUCCCUGGCGCCGGUGCGAGGUCAUCUCAGGGGAUUGCCGCCGCGGACGCAGCUGGCAUGCCGCGGAACAAGCUUGGACCAGCAGGGGUUUGCGCCGUUUGUCGCUUUCCCAACCAAACCCCACCCAGAAAAGCGACUAAGCCUGAAGACACCUCUCGAUGAGCUGUUGUGGACAGGAGUUCGACUCUCCUCACCUCCACCA
RNAcentral lists this transfer-messenger RNA (380 nucleotides) under Coriobacteriales. RNAcentral's name for it is "W2P13-069 sp004553405 Standard tmRNA". It matches the Rfam family "transfer-messenger RNA". Rfam says of the family: Bacterial tmRNA, also known as 10Sa RNA or SsrA, is named for its dual tRNA and mRNA-like properties. Its role is to liberate the mRNA from a stalled ribosome. The record is from RNAcentral. RNAcentral also lists the same sequence under 3 other names. Lineage: Bacteria; Bacillati; Actinomycetota; Coriobacteriia.